RNAcentral lists this unclassified non-coding RNA (406 nucleotides) under soil metagenome. RNAcentral's name for it is "partial contains 5.8S ribosomal RNA, internal transcribed spacer 2, and large subunit ribosomal RNA". The stretch from base 1 to 121 matches the Rfam family "5.8S ribosomal RNA", at positions 35 to 154 of the family's 154-position model. The record is from RNAcentral.
GAUGAAGAACGCAGCGAAAUGCGAUAAGUAAUGUGAAUUGCAGAAUUCAGUGAAUCAUCGAAUCUUUGAACGCACCUUGCGCCCUUUGGCCAUUCCGAAGGGCAUGCCUGUUUGAGUAUCAUGAACACCUCAACUCUUCAUGGUUUUCCAUGAUGAGCUUGGACUUUGGGGGUCUUGCUGGCCUGUGGGUCGGCUCCUCUCAAAUGAAUCAGCUUGCCGGUUUUUGGUGGGCAUCACAGGUGUGAUAACUAUCUACACUUGUGGUUUUCCACCAGGGUAACCUUCAGCAGUGGAGGUUCACUGGAGCUUACAAAUGUCUCUCCUCUGUGUGGACAGCCCUUUGAAUGUUUGAUCUCAAAUCAGGUAGGACUACCCGCUGAACUUAAGCAUAUCAAUAAGCGGAGGA